UACGUAGGGGGCGAGCGUUGUCCGGAUUUAUUGGGCGUAAAGAGCGUGUAGGCGGCCAGGUAGGUCUGCUGUGAAAACUCGAGGCUCAACCUCGAGACGUCGGCGGAAACCAUCUGGCUAGAGUCCGGAAGAGGAGAGUGGAAUUCCUGGUGUAGCGGUGAACUGCGCAGAUAUCAGGAAGAACACCCGUGGCGAAGGCGGCUCUCUGGGACGGUACUGACGCUGAGACGCGAAAGCGUGGGGAGCGAACAGG
Molecule: ribosomal RNA, 253 nt
Filed under: uncultured bacterium
Lineage: Bacteria
Description: partial 16S ribosomal RNA
Rfam family: Bacterial small subunit ribosomal RNA
Source: RNAcentral